ACGCUCGACACCUACGGGCGGCAGCAGUAGGGAAUCUUCCACAAUGGGCGCAAGCCUGAUGGAGCAACACCGCGUGAGUGAAGAAGGGUUUCGGCUCGUAAAGCUCUGUUGUUGGAGAAGAACGUGCGUGAGAGUAACUGUUCACGCAGUGACGGUAUCCAACCAGAAAGUCACGGCUAACUACGUGCCUGCAGCCGCGGUAAUCUGAGCGGGCUGGCAAGGC
Molecule: ribosomal RNA, 223 nt
Filed under: uncultured bacterium
Lineage: Bacteria
Description: partial 16S ribosomal RNA
Rfam family: Bacterial small subunit ribosomal RNA
Source: RNAcentral